RNAcentral lists this ribosomal RNA (35 nucleotides) under Catathelasma laorentou. RNAcentral's name for it is "Catathelasma sp. JYW-2019a partial 28S ribosomal RNA". Lineage: Eukaryota; Fungi; Basidiomycota; Agaricomycetes; Agaricales; Biannulariaceae. The record is from RNAcentral. RNAcentral also lists the same sequence under 1 other name.
UGACCUCAAAUCAGGUAGGAUUACCCGCUGAACUU